This 253-nucleotide ribosomal RNA is filed under the name uncultured bacterium. RNAcentral's name for it is "partial 16S ribosomal RNA". It matches the Rfam family "Bacterial small subunit ribosomal RNA", at positions 524 to 776 of the family's 1533-position model. The record is from RNAcentral.
UACGUAGGGAGCAAGCGUUGUCCGGAAUCAUUGGGCGUAAAGCGCGCGUAGGUGGCCUCAUAAGUCCGUUGUGAAAGUCAAAGGCUCAACCUUUGAAAGCCGAUGGAUACUGUGAGACUAGAGUACGGAAGAGGCGAGUGGAAUUCCUGGUGUAGCGGUGGAAUGCGCAGAUAUCAGGAGGAACACCAAUAGCGAAGGCAGCUCGCUGGGACGUUACUGACACUGAGGCGCGAAGGUCAGGGGAGCAAACGGG